RNAcentral lists this long non-coding RNA (2951 nucleotides) under Citrus sinensis (sweet orange). Its description in RNAcentral is "long non-coding RNA (CSIN_LNC001486)". Lineage: Eukaryota; Viridiplantae; Streptophyta; Magnoliopsida; Sapindales; Rutaceae. The record is from RNAcentral.
UAACAGCCGACGAACAGAAAUGAAAGAUACAACUCCGAAGUUUUACUUUUCUUUAUUAUUAUGGCCUGUAGAAAACUCAGCUAGCUAUCUGCCUAUGAACAGACUGAAAAAUUGAGAAAAAAAAAUAAAAAAAUAAAAAUAAAAAAGGUACAAAGCUAGAGCUAUAGUUUCUUUAUAUAUUUUUCUAUUCAACUGAUCUUUCCCCUCCAUGUAUCUUUCUCAGCUCCUCCCACUUUAUUCUGAUUCAUCUAAUAAUUAAUAAGCAAUAUCAAUAUAUUUAUAUAUAUAUAAUAAAAAAAAGUAAAAAUUAAUCCCACUAUAAACUACAACCCACGUGUAAGUACUCUCCAACCUAACUUCAUGCAUAUUAAAAUCUUGGCCAGCAUCUUAAUUCAUCAAGUUCGAACACACCCUCCUGAAAAAUUUAAAAAUUAAAAUAAACAUUACCCCUCGUCUUUUAACCGCAAUGAAAAAUUUUCACAGAAAUGAAUUCACAGUUUUGUGAUUUGUAACGUCUUUGUCUCAUCUUCACUCACUCGGCAUUCCCCAUUGGAGCAGCUGCUGCUGCAGCUUUGUUUGGUACAAUCUCAUAACCUUCAUUGCCUUCUUCUUCUUCUUCGUCACCCUCUUCACUGUUUCCUUCUUCUUCUUCUUCUUCUUCUUCUUCUUCGUCAUCUUCUUGAAUUUGAUUCACAUUCAAUGGCGGCUGGUUUUGUCCCUGCAGAUGAUCAUUAUUGUGUAGUGGCCAUUGCUGCUCCGGUAACACCAUCAACGGCGCCGUGUUAUGAUUCACAGCCUUCACAUUUCCAUAACAACCUGAAUUAUUUUCACUACUCUUAUUGCUUUUCUCUCUAUACAAAGCAUCAAGUUGAUCAAAAUACGGACACGUCUUCGAAUCAUCAGGCCUUUUCUUGUUGCUCUCUUUAACUUUCUUGAAAUACUUGUUAAUAUUCUCCCAUUUCUCUUUACACCUCUUAGCGUUCCGAUUGUAUCCAACGCUCCGCAUUGCCGCUGCGAUCUCUUCCCAUAGAGGCCCUUUCGGUCCAUUUUCUUGAUACUUAUUUGCCAGCUCGGUUCUAAAUUUGAUCAAAGCUUGAACUUCAGCUUUUGGCCAUCUUGAAGAGCUUGUUGACAUAACAACAUUUCCACCAUAAUUAUUAUUAUUAGCCGCCGGCUUAUUAUUUGGAGUAGUCGUAGCCGGUGGCUGAGGCUGAGGUGGAACUGCUGGUACGGGCUGUACUACUACUGUUGGCGGUGGCGGUUGGGGAUUUUCUUUAACGGGGAUUUGUUGCUGGCCUGAAAUAUUUUGCAAGAAUGCGAUGACGGCAGCGUCCUUGGCAGCUGCUGUGGCUCGUUCUUGGAUUAGAAUCUCAUGUUCUCUAUCGAUUCUAGCCAUUUCUUGAACCCUCCAAGCUUCGUCACGAACAAUUCUUUCGCGUUCGCGUCUCUCCAUUUCCUCCAAGAAUCUAUAUUGCAGCUCCUCUUGUUUCUUGAUCACCUGCUUCGUCAACCUCUUGAAAAACAUCUUCCACUUUCUCUUCCUCGUACCAGCUGGCCGCUCUUCAGAAUAUUCCUCUGACGCAGUUGAAGAUGAUGUUGAACUCGAGAAAAGAUUCGGCGACACAUUUGCAAACGAAUACGGUAAGUUAUUCACAGGCUGGGCUAAUGGCGGCGCUGCUGCUGCUGCAGAAACCGUAGGGUUUGUGGGAGGGGCAAUGACAGUGCUCUGAGGCACGGCUUGUAUAGGGUUUGCGGCUGAUAUCGAUGUAACAACAUUCUUGAUAUGAGCCGGGACUGAACUCGGAGGAUUCAUAGUCCAAGGAAUUGCUUGCAUUAACGGAGCUGGAGGCUUUGUUGUUGCUUGAGGAGCGGUUGAAUGAUGAUGAUGAUCAAGGGCUUCUAAUUGAUCAAAAAACUUGUAAUGCUUGCCUUCUGGCUUUCCCGUGCGGCCAUCUUUUGUUCUCCUGUGGUAUUUGUAGACGUUCUCGAAUUUCUCUUUGCAUUUCUUGGCACUUCGAUUAUAACCAAGCUCAGCUAGUUUCCUGAUAAUAACAGUUCAGCAACAGCUUUUUACUUCCUCAUCCCAUGUUAAUUAAUAACUAUGUUUAAUUACCAGCAUUUUCACGCAUAAAAUAAACAUGAAAUUUGAUCGUUUCGAUAAUUAAUCCAAGAAAAGAUAAAAUUUAAUACUAAUUUUUAAUUUUUUGAUUAAAAAAAAAAGGAAAAGGAAAAGAGAUGACCUAAUCGUCAGUGACCUCAUGUUAAUUUCUGAAAUCGGCAAAUCAACUAGAGUUUAAUUCUAACAGUAACAUGAAAAUUUUGAAACGCUAGAUUAAUGAAACCUAUAUCACAGAAGAGAAUUGCAUUUGAAACCAUUUAGUACCAAGAGAAUUGUAAAUUUUGAUUAUAUAUAUAUAUAUAUAUAUAUAUAUAUAUAUUAAUUGCUUAUUCAUGUGUGAUGUUGGCAUGUUAUGGAAAGAAGCUAGCUGCAGCUUCCUCUUCUCUCUCUUUCAUGUUGGUGACAGACUGGUAUUUACCUUUUCUUUCUUUUUUUUUUUGUUGGCUGAGUUAUUUUAUUGCUGAAGUUUGAAGUUGCAAGUAAAUAUUCUGAAUUCAAUAAAAAACAAACACUACAAACCAUUUUCCCCAUUUACAAGUAACAGCCGACGAACAGAAAUGAAAGAUACAACUCCGAAGUUUUACUUUUCUUUAUUAUUAUGGCCUGUAGAAAACUCAGCUAGCUAUCUGCCUAUGAACAGACUGAAAAAUUGAGAAAAAAAAAUAAAAAAAUAAAAAUAAAAAAGGUACAAAGCUAGAGCUAUAGUUUCUUUAUAUAUUUUUCUAUUCAACUGAUCUUUCCCCUCCAUGUAUCUUUCUCAGCUCCUCCCACUUUAUUCUGAUUCAUCUAAUAAUUAAUAAGCAAUAUCAAUAUAUUUAUAUAUAUAUAAUAA